This 500-nucleotide ribosomal RNA is filed under the name uncultured bacterium. RNAcentral describes it as "partial 16S ribosomal RNA". It matches the Rfam family "Bacterial small subunit ribosomal RNA", at positions 30 to 523 of the family's 1533-position model. The record is from RNAcentral.
AUUGAACGCUGGCGGAAUGCUUUACACAUGCAAGUCGAACGGCAGCACGGACUUCGGUCUGGUGGCGAGUGGCGAACGGGUGAGUAAUGCAUCGGAACGUGCCCAGUCGUGGGGGAUAACGUAGUGAAAAUUACGCUAAUACCGCAUACGAUCUAUGGAUGAAAGCGGGGGAUCGCAAGACCUCGCGCGAUUGGAGCGGCCGAUAUCAGAUUAGGUAGUUGGUGGGGUAAAGGCCCACCAAGCCAACGAUCUGUAGCUGGUCUGAGAGGACGACCAGCCACACUGGAACUGAGACUCGGUCCAGACUCCUACGGGAGGCAGCAGCGGGGAAUUUUGGACAAUGGGCGAAAGCCUGAUCCAGCCAUUCCGCGUGCAGGAUGAAGGCCCUCGGGUUGUAAACUGCUUUUGUACAGAACGAAAAGGUUUCUACUAAUACUAGGAGCUCAUGACGGUACUGUAAGAAUAAGCACCGGCUAACUACGUGCCAGCAGCCGCGGUAA